Cannabis sativa is the source of this 1026-nucleotide long non-coding RNA. RefSeq lists it as uncharacterized. The record is from RefSeq and is a predicted model, not a curated record. The transcript is spliced from 2 exons. Lineage: Eukaryota; Viridiplantae; Streptophyta; Magnoliopsida; Rosales; Cannabaceae.
UUUACAACACUUUUCACAUCCGACCGUUGAGAAGAAAAUAUCUGAGGCUAUUUAAUCGGCUGGCCUAGUCGUCUCUCUCCAACCCUAACCUUCUGAUUCGAAACUGAUCUGGGUUUAGGACUUUAGGGUUUCUGAGAAUUGAGAUGAAGUUUUAGGUUAGUGUAUCUUACAAUAUGCAGGAAUUGUCUGUGCCAGAUAAUCGCUGUGGCCGACUAAAGCUUUCGUCUUCGCCAGACUUGAGAGCUAAUGCUGCCCUAACCUUCCUUGGAUGUCUGAGAUCUUAGUUUUGUUUUUCUCUUUUGUUGUUUCUUUUCCCAAAAACAUUUGCUGUGGCAGAUUAUGCGUUUUUGCUCGUCUGAUACUCUUGUUUAAAAUGUUUAUUAGUUUUCUGUUUUGAAUUUGGUAUUUUUAAGUAAUUGCAUUUACAUAUUUGGAAUUUCCUAGCUGAUGAUGUCAAUGAUGAUAACUCUAAGGCUUGUUUCUCAAAACAUUCGCAGUGGCCGACUAAAGCUUUCGCCUUCGCCAGGCUUGAGAGCUAAUGCUGCCUUAACCUUCCUUGGAUGUCUGAGAUCUGAAAUUUGAUCUUCUCCUUUGUUGUUUCUAUAUUGUAAUUUCUAUAGAAUUUUGACGGAGGAUUUCUGCGAAGAAAUCCUUUACAAUACGGGAGCAAACAUGUUAUGUUUGUAUAUUUCCUUAGUUAACGUCAAAUAUCAAUAUCAACAUCGUUAAUGGUUUUCCUUUUGGGAUUUCCUCCGAUUUGAUUUGUCUCAUAUUCCAUCACCUUGUGGAGCGGCUUUGCUGCCAUUACCUCGUUGGACUUGCCAUGGGGCUUACAUUUUGUUACUAAGUUUUGAUCUUUUUCUAUUUGCUACUGUUUUUGUAUGUAUUGCCAUAGUUUCAUUAAUUUACUUUGAUGUUUUCCAUAUAUAUUGCCCAUGAUGGUAUCAAUCAUCAAUUACCAUCUUUCGGGACUGAAUGGCCCUUUGGGCCUUGCUGUUAAUAUGCAAAUCUAAGGCAUUUUCUUUA